UCUCUUGUAUUUUUUUCAAUAUCCCAAUAUUUUUUUCUUUUCGCAUGACAGUUGGUGGAACUUUUUUUCGAGGUUAUGAUUAUCUCAAGUCACUGCUGAUCGAUUGAUAAAUCUGUGAAUUGUCGUUUUUUAAUUUGAUGAUAGCGAUGACAGUACUCGAGGCGAUAUUCGUUUCAUGAAUCUUAAUGGAUCAUCUACGGAAACUUGAGAGUUUCUCUUGAGACUGAUAACAGAUUCUGAGAUUAUGCUGGAGCGUGUAUAUGAGUAUUACUAUAUGUACGUAGAAUAACUACCGCCUACAGUGACGUUAAUGAUUCAAAGUACGAUAGAGAUGAAUAAUCGCGUAAUAACAAGAAACGAUUGUUUCUUGUUCUCAGCUCUUAAUUUUCCUGCCUAAUGUUUGAAUUCCAUUUACCGUUCGCCAUCUUGGCAUUCAUAUUCGCUUUUUCUUCUUCGUCUCUCUUUUUAUGUAUUAAUACAGCAUAUAUGCGACGUCGCGUUAAAGUUAUUAAGUCAGACGUCAGAAUGUUGGAAAAAAAAGGUCUUAGACUCGUGAAGUGAAAGUAUACUCAAAGAAAUUAUUAAAAGUUUCACGCGAUAGGAGAACGAAGCGUCCUCUUCUUUUCCUAACCUGUAAUUCACGUUUGAAAUUCAAAUUCGAACCGGUCUGCCUUUUAGUACCUAAAGCACACGUACUGUCUGCAUUUCAAACAAAGAGGAUCAGAAUCCUUGAAUUCACAGCAAGCGGUACGUCAAUUAAGCUGUAUCCGGUUGUCGUUUAAAAAUUCAUAAAAUAGUAAUAGGGUUCUGAAACUUUUCUUUCACGAUAUACGUUCUGAUGACAUUAAUUAUUGUUAAAGUGCCUGAGUGAACAGAUAUUUGAAAAUAUAAAGGGUGCAAUUCUUUAAUAAAAAUAUAUCUGAUCGUAGGUAUAUAUUAAGAAAUAGGUACCUAAAAAUAAAUUUAUUAAGCGCUUCGAUUCCAAUAGUUAAUUUUACAGUCGCCCGUAUUUUCUGAUCCAAAAUAUAGCGUCAGUAUCGUUAAACGAAUGGAAAGUUCCAAAAGUAUAGAGUCAACGUGUACAGGGCAGUUGAUACGAUUGUGAAAACGAGAAGGUUCGUGGAAAAAAUAAGAAAAAUGUAAAUAUGAAUUUUCAAACGCAUAACUACAAAAAAAUCGAAAGAGAUAUCGUGACGCGUGAAGCGCGAGAUGUGAUCCUGGACCAGCGAGAUCUCAGCUCGUAGGAAUGACAAUAGACUGUCACAUAAUGAAUCCCCGCUGCCAGCCAAACCUCCGGCAUAUAGCCCCUCUCUACCGCACACCCUAAAACUUCCCCUUGGCAUCUCCAUCUCGCUCGACCGGGUUUUCGCUCAAUUCUAGCAAAGGAUUCAAACCGCCCGCGAACAAUGAACGUAUCGACAAUGAAAAAUAACACGCCUAACCUUGAAAAUCGUACAUAUAGCAAACUCACGAUUAACAUUAAUCAGCGAUAUUUGAAAUUGUAAUAUAAGCGAAUGUGUAUUUUUACAAUGGGGACAAGAAAAAAGUGAAAGAAGAAUAAAGUUGACUGAGGUGGAAUCCCUCACUUCUGCGGCAAACAGAACUAUGACCAAGUAGUCGAGGCGUCCACUUAGCGUUAAUGCUCCUUUUAUUGGUCAAGACUUCAUCGAAAAGUUGAAUGGAUGUUACCCCGCCUUACAUUUCUCUUUGUGUUUUAUACAUGAAGCAUAUUUGAUUCUAGGUAGAAUUUCUAGGCGAGGUGAUCUAUCGAAAAUUUAAAACGUCUCUACGGAUGACCAAAAUGUACUGCGAGUAAAUGGAAUACGCAAUGUACAAUAUUGAACCGCUCCCAAGGGGAUGGAGAGGAGAAAUUCGCAGAAAAAAUGGGAAACUCACAAAUGGUCAGAACUGGAAGUUUAAGAAGAUUAACGAUACGUAUCGAUACGUCUGGCUUGGAAUUUUGAUCGCGUGAGAAAUUCGGGAGGACUGUAAUGAAAAGACGUCGG
Long non-coding RNA from Cephus cinctus (wheat stem sawfly), 2006 nucleotides. RefSeq lists it as uncharacterized. The transcript is spliced from 5 exons. NCBI's taxonomy places the organism in Eukaryota, Metazoa, Arthropoda, Insecta, Hymenoptera, Cephidae. The record is from RefSeq and is a predicted model, not a curated record.